CCUACGGGAGGCAGCAGUGGGGAAUAUUGGGCAAUGGAGGAAACUCUGACCCAGCAACGCCGCGUGAAUGAUGAAGGUCUUCGGAUUGUAAAGUUCUUUUCUAAGGGAAGAAGAAAGUGACGGUACCUUAGGAAUAAGCCUCGGCUAACUACGUGCCAGCAGCCGCGGUAAUACGUAGGAGGCAAGCGUUAUCCGGAAUGACUGGGCGUAAAGGGUGCGUAGGUGGUUUGACAAGUUGGUAGCGUAACUCCGGGGCUCAACCUCGGCGCUACCGCCAAAACUAUUAGACUAGAGUGCAGGAGGGGUAAGUGGAAUUCCUAGUGUAGCGGUGGAAUGCGUAGAUAUUAGGAGGAACAUCAGGGGCGAAGGCGACUUACUGGACUGUAACUGACACUGAGGCACGAAAGCGUGGGGAGCAAACAGGAUUAGAUACCCGGGUAGUC
Molecule: ribosomal RNA, 443 nt
Filed under: uncultured bacterium
Lineage: Bacteria
Description: partial 16S ribosomal RNA
Rfam family: Bacterial small subunit ribosomal RNA
Source: RNAcentral